RNAcentral lists this ribosomal RNA (1086 nucleotides) under Escherichia coli. Its description in RNAcentral is "partial 23S ribosomal RNA". It matches the Rfam family "Bacterial large subunit ribosomal RNA", at positions 144 to 1268 of the family's 2925-position model. Lineage: Bacteria; Pseudomonadati; Pseudomonadota; Gammaproteobacteria; Enterobacterales; Enterobacteriaceae. The record is from RNAcentral.
CACACUAUCAUUAACUGAAUCCAUAGGUUAAUGAGGCGAACCGGGGGAACUGAAACAUCUAAGUACCCCGAGGAAAAGAAAUCAACCGAGAUUCCCCCAGUAGCGGCGAGCGAACGGGGAGCAGCCCAGAGCCUGAAUCAGUGUGUGUGUUAGUGGAAGCGUCUGGAAAGGCGUGCGAUACAGGGUGACAGCCCCGUACACAAAAAUGCACAUAUUGUGAGCUCGAUGAGUAGGGCGGGACACGUGGUAUCCUGUCUGAAUAUGGGGGGACCAUCCUCCAAGGCUAAAUACUCCUGACUGACCGAUAGUGAACCAGUACCGUGAGGGAAAGGCGAAAAGAACCCCGGCGAGGGGAGUGAAAAAGAACCUGAAACCGUGUACGUACAAGCAGUGGGAGCACGCUUAGGCGUGUGACUGCGUACCUUUUGUAUAAUGGGUCAGCGACUUAUAUUCUGUAGCAAGGUUAACCGAAUAGGGGAGCCGAAGGGAAACCGAGUCUUAACUGGGCGUUAAGUUGCAGGGUAUAGACCCGAAACCCGGUGAUCUAGCCAUGGGCAGGUUGAAGGUUGGGUAACACUAACUGGAGGACCGAACCGACUAAUGUUGAAAAAUUAGCGGAUGACUUGUGGCUGGGGGUGAAAGGCCAAUCAAACCGGGAGAUAGCUGGUUCUCCCCGAAAGCUAUUUAGGUAGCGCCUCGUGAAUUCAUCUCCGGGGGUAGAGCACUGUUUCGGCAAGGGGGUCAUCCCGACUUACCAACCCGAUGCAAACUGCGAAUACCGGAGAAUGUUAUCACGGGAGACACACGGCGGGUGCUAACGUCCGUCGUGAAGAGGGAAACAACCCAGACCGCCAGCUAAGGUCCCAAAGUCAUGGUUAAGUGGGAAACGAUGUGGGAAGGCCCAGACAGCCAGGAUGUUGGCUUAGAAGCAGCCAUCAUUUAAAGAAAGCGUAAUAGCUCACUGGUCGAGUCGGCCUGCGCGGAAGAUGUAACGGGGCUAAACCAUGCACCGAAGCUGCGGCAGCGACGCUUAUGCGUUGUUGGGUAGGGGAGCGUUCUGUAAGCCUGUGAAGGUGUGCUGUGAGG